This 310-nucleotide ribosomal RNA is filed under the name uncultured eukaryote. RNAcentral's name for it is "partial 18S ribosomal RNA". It matches the Rfam family "Eukaryotic small subunit ribosomal RNA", at positions 1470 to 1796 of the family's 1831-position model. The record is from RNAcentral.
CCCUUUGAUGUUCUGGGCUGCACGCGCGCUACACGGAUGCGCUCAACGAGUUUACGACCUUGCCUGGAAAGGUUGGGUAAUCUUCUUAAAACGCAUCGUGAUGGGGAUAGAUUAUUGCAACUAUUAAGAUUCAACGAGGAGUUCCUAGUAAGCGCGAGUCAUCAGCUCGUGCUGAUUACGUCCCUGCCCUUUGUACACACCGCCCGUCGCUACUACCGAUUGAAUGGUUUAGUGAGGCCUUCGGAUCCGCGAUUUUAUUGUGGAGAAGUUGGACAAACUCAGUCAUUUAGAGGAAGUAAAAGUCGUAACA